GUCGGGACGGAGCUUUGCCCAGGCGCGCAUUGGGCUUUAAGGACAUGCGCUAUCAUACCAGAGAAUGCAGGUUCCGAUCUAUACAGCCGAACUAUUUGUAUGAUGCAACGCCAUUUUGGUUGCACAUUUACUUAAUUGCUGUUUGUUAGAACCUAGAUAAGAAGGUACUUAACGUUGGUACAUCUUAUGUAAUUGCAGUAUUGUGAUUCAUCUAUAAUCCUUGUGAUGCUUUAACGGUAUCCAGUAAUUAUACCUUUCAGCAAAAAAUAUGGUUUAGAGCAACUCGUAUGAUUAGGUAUCAUACAGAAAAUGGAGUCUUACAAAGUCAUAAACAACGAUACCUUUAAUUGAGGAGGGAAGCAAGGUAAAGAAGAAUCGUUCUUUCAAUCUUAAUAAUGGAAGUAGGCACAGCAGGGUUAGAAGUACAUGGCAAUGGAAUUAAAAUUAUAGAGAAAAAUGAGGCAAGUAU
This is a long non-coding RNA of Photinus pyralis (common eastern firefly), 469 nucleotides long. RefSeq lists it as uncharacterized. The transcript has 3 exons. NCBI's taxonomy places the organism in Eukaryota, Metazoa, Arthropoda, Insecta, Coleoptera, Lampyridae. The record is from RefSeq and is a predicted model, not a curated record.